RNAcentral lists this transfer RNA (85 nucleotides) under Desulfovibrio sp. RNAcentral describes it as "tRNA-Leu". It matches the Rfam family "tRNA". Rfam says of the family: Transfer RNA (tRNA) molecules are approximately 80 nucleotides in length. The record is from RNAcentral. Lineage: Bacteria; Pseudomonadati; Thermodesulfobacteriota; Desulfovibrionia; Desulfovibrionales; Desulfovibrionaceae.
GCCCAGGUGAUGGAACGGUAGACAUAGGAGACUUAAAAUCUCUGGCUCUAUGAGCAUGCGGGUUCAAGUCCCGCCCUGGGUACCA